UCCGGUUUAACACCGGCAGUCUCCUCAGAGUCCCCAACUUAAUGCUGGUAACUGAGAACAGGGGUUGCGCUCGUUAUCGGACUUAACCGGACAUCUUACGACACGAGCUGACGACAGCCAUGCAGCACCUAUCUCCAAGUCCCCGAAAGGAAGACUACAUCUCUGUAGCUGUCUUGGGAUGUUAAGGGUAGGUAAGGUUCUGCGCGUUGCUUCGAAUUAAACCACAUACUCCACCGCUUGUGCGGGCCCCCGUCAAUUCCUUUGAGUUUUAGCCUUGCGACCGUACUCCCCAGGCGGGAUACUUCACGCGUUAGCUUCGUUACUGAGUCAGUGAAGACCCAACAACCAGUUGACAUCGUUUAGGGCGUGGACUAC
This 375-nucleotide unclassified non-coding RNA is filed under the name uncultured Oligoflexaceae bacterium. Its description in RNAcentral is "contains 16S-23S intergenic spacer region". The record is from RNAcentral. Lineage: Bacteria; Pseudomonadati; Bdellovibrionota; Oligoflexia; Oligoflexales; Oligoflexaceae.